RNAcentral lists this ribosomal RNA (305 nucleotides) under uncultured soil bacterium. RNAcentral describes it as "bacterial SSU rRNA". It matches the Rfam family "Bacterial small subunit ribosomal RNA", at positions 26 to 361 of the family's 1533-position model. The record is from RNAcentral.
AGAACGAACGCUGGCGGCAUGCCUAAUACAUGCAAGUCGAACGAACUCUUCGGAGUUAGUGGCGCACGGGUGCGUAACGCGUGAGAAUCUGCCCCUUGGUUCGGAAUAACAGUUGGAAACGACUGCUAAUACCGGAUGAUGACGAAAGUCCAAAGAUUUAUCGCCAAGGGAUGAGCCCGCGUAGGAUUAGCUAGUUGGUGAGGUAAAGGCUCACCAAGGCAACGAUCCUUAGCUGGUCUGAGAGGAUGAUCAGCCACACUGGGACUGAGACACGGCCCAGACUCCACGGGAGCAGCAGUAGGGAA